This 2028-nucleotide ribosomal RNA is filed under the name Triticum aestivum (bread wheat). Its description in RNAcentral is "partial small subunit ribosomal RNA". Lineage: Eukaryota; Viridiplantae; Streptophyta; Magnoliopsida; Poales; Poaceae. The record is from RNAcentral.
AUGGGCGACCACUACCAGACGCUGGGGCUCGGCCGCGACGCCAGCAAGGCCGACAUCAAGAACGCCUUCUUCCGCCUCGCCCACCGCCACCACCCCGACCACCACACCCACGCCAACGCCGCCGCCCGCGCCGAGGCCGCGCUCCGCUUCCGCCAGGUCAAGGACGCCUACGACGUGCUCCACGACGACCGCCGCCGCGCCGAGUACGACUCCUGGUUCCGCUCCUCCUCGCGUUCGAGUGGCUACGAGCGCCGUCACGGACACGGACACGGCGGGAACUCUUCCUCGUCGUGGUCUGCGAACGACCACAGGCACCGUCGCGAACACGGCGGCGCCACCUCGUCGGGUUCGAGGGCUCCGCCUCGGCCGAGAGGCCGCUCUAGACUCGACAACGUGAUAUUCUGUGUAUUGUUCAUGCGGGUGCACCUACACCCGGGAGCUGCCACACCUUUCUCCUAUAUAAUCGCGUGCGUGCGCAUUUGUAGGUCUAUCAGUGCUCGGAGAAAUUGGAGAAAGGUGGAAGAAAGAUCCGGAAAAGAUGGAACGAGAUUUGGAAAUGAUGAGGACAGCCUUCCUGAAAACGAAGCAACAGUGGGAAAAUCUGAAGCGAGAAUGGGAAAAGAGGAACCCCUGGAAAUCAUGGAGGGAGUGGAGAGAGAAGGACAAAGAGAUGAACUAGUGGACGGACAUAUUCAGAUCUUCACUUCAGGCAUACAGCUAGAACAGUUCAGAUUUCAAAGUCCCUACACGUCAAGAGGACGACUUGGCAUGUCUUUUGGUGUGGCGGCGUUUAUGUUACUUUACCUUUGUGAGGGAAGCCGAGGGGAUUUCUCCCUACUUCUACCCACGGGACGCCUUGCUUGCGUGCCGACGGGUAGUGCUGAUCCUUUGUUGUGGUGUGGUCUUGCGAACAUGGUGCACGGCGUCAAGAGUACGAGGAGGCUGACGCCACGGCCGCUAGAUGACAGACCCAAUCAUGAAGAGCUCGGCUUGCUAGCUACUGCCGCGGCGGCGGCGUCGAUGGGCGACCACUACGAGACGCUAGGGCUCGGCCGCAACGCCAGCAAGGCCGACAUCAAGGCCGCCUUGUUCCGCCUCGCCCACCGCUACCACCCCGACCACCACGCCCACGCCGACGCCGCCGCCCGAGCCGAAGCCGACCGCCGCUUCCGCCAGAUCAAAGAGGCCUACGAUGUGCUCUACGACCAACGCCGCCGCGCCGAGUACGAUUCCUCGUCCCGCUCCGCCUCCUCCUCGGGCUCGAGUGGCCACGGGCGCCGUCACGGCGGGAACUCUUCAUCGUCGUCGUAUUCGAGUAAGCACGGGAACCGGCAGGGAGGUGGUACUUCAGGCUCAUCUUCCUCCUCGUCGUCUUCGAAUGACCACGGGAACCGACACAAAGGUGGUGGCACCUCAGGCUCAGGCUCAUCCUCCUCCUCCUCGUCUUCAAGCGACCAUGGGAACCGGCAGGGCGGUGGCACUUCAGGCUCAGGCUCAUCCUCCUCGUCGUCGUCUUCGAGUGACCAUGGGUACCAACACAGAGGUGGCACUGGCACCUCAGGCUCAGGUUCAGGCUCAUCCUCCUCCUCGUCUUCAAGUGACCACACUAACCGGCAGGGAGGUGGCACCUCCUACUCCUCCUCAUCGUCUGCGAAUGACCACGGGAACCGUCGUGGACACAGCGGCACCACCUCCUCGGGUUACAGAGGCCCUCUUCGGCCGAGAGGCGGACCUAAAGUCCGUACCGUGAUCUUCGGGUAUUUCUAUGAUCGGAGGAACUGCAAUGGCAAAGGAAAGCUGGGAGCGAAAUCCGGAAAGGAUGGAACAAGAAUUGGAAAUGGUGAAGAUAGAGUUCUGGACGAGGAAGAGACAGUUAGAAAAUAUGAAACGAAAGUGGGAAAAGAACAAUCCCUUGAAACCAUGGAUGGAGUCGAAAGAGAAGGAGAUAAAGUCAGAGUUCGAGAUGAGGAGGCAACAGUGGGAAAAUAUGAAACAGGAAUGGGUAAAGAACAAUCCCUGGGUGAGUGA